RNAcentral lists this ribosomal RNA (425 nucleotides) under uncultured prokaryote. RNAcentral describes it as "bacterial SSU rRNA". It matches the Rfam family "Bacterial small subunit ribosomal RNA", at positions 355 to 796 of the family's 1533-position model. The record is from RNAcentral.
CAGGGAAUCUUGCGCAAUGGACGAAAGUCUGACGCAGCGAUGCCGCGUGAGGGAUGACGGCCUUCGGGUUGUAAACCUCUUUCAGGAGGGACGAAAUUGACGGUACCUCCAGAAGAAGCCCCGGCCAACUACGUGCCAGCAGCCGCGGUAAUACGUAGGGGGCAAGCGUUGUCCGGAAUUAUUGGGCGUAAAGAGCUCGUAGGCGGCUUGGUAAGUCGGCCGUGAAAACCAAGGGCUCAACCUUUGGAUGUCGGUCGAUACUGCCAUGGCUGGAGUCCGGUAGAGGAGAGUGGAAUUCCCGGUGUAGCGGUGAAAUGCGCAGAUAUCGGGAGGAACACCAGUAGCGAAGGCGGCUCUCUGGGCCGGAACUGACGCUGAGGAGCGAAAGCGUGGGUAGCAAACAGGAUUAGAUACCCGCGUAGUCC